AUUGAACGCUGGCGGCAGGCCUAACACAUGCAAGUCGAACGAGUGGCGCACGGGUGAGUAAUGUCUGUGAAACUGCCUGAUGGAGGGGGAUAACUACUGGAAACGGUAGCUAAUACCGCAUACCAGCGGAUGUGCCCAGGUGGGAUUAGCUAGUAGGUGGGGUAACGGCUUACCUAGGCGACGAUCCCUAGCUGGUCUGAGAGGAUGACCAGCCACACUGGAACUGAGACACGGUCCAGACUCCUACGGGAGGCAGCAGUGGGGAAUCUUGCACAAUGGGCGCAAGCCUGACGGAGCCAUGCCGCGUGUGUGAAGAAGGUCUUCGGGUUGUAAAGCACUUGCAGAGGGGAAGCGGUACCUGCAGAAGAAGCACCGGCUAACUCCGUGCCAGCAGCCGCGGUAAUUC
RNAcentral lists this ribosomal RNA (406 nucleotides) under uncultured bacterium. Its description in RNAcentral is "partial 16S ribosomal RNA". It matches the Rfam family "Bacterial small subunit ribosomal RNA", at positions 30 to 526 of the family's 1533-position model. The record is from RNAcentral.